Molecule: long non-coding RNA, 645 nt
Organism: Cyanistes caeruleus (blue tit)
Lineage: Eukaryota; Metazoa; Chordata; Aves; Passeriformes; Paridae
Source: RefSeq, a predicted model, not a curated record
GUAGGGGAAGUCUCCAGCCUGAAGAGAUGCUCUACACUGAGGUUCUGUGGUUGUUGAUUAAAGGGAACCAAAGCUUGACCUGCAAAUGGAAUCAAGCAGUUUUUGGAGAAAUUCAGCUCCUUCUGGUGUGUGCUGUGAACCCACGCCUGUACAUCGUGUCCAAAAGUGACACUCGCCUCUCCCGGGUGACGGGAAACAGGACAGCAGGAAAUGGCUCAGGUUGUGCCAGGAAAGGCUGAAAUUGAGUGUUUGGACAAAUUUCCCCACUGAAAAAGUGCUCAGGUUUGGAGUGGGCUGCCCUGGGAGGCGGUGGAGUCGCUGUCCCUCGAGGGAUUUGUAUCACACCUAGGUGUGGCCCUUGGGGACGUGGUUUAGUGGGAUUUGGCAGUGCUGGGGUAAUGAUUUUCUCUGAGCCUGAGGGAAUUGCAGGUUGCAAAUCUGAUUGCACUCAAUGAAUUUUCCAGCCUUCGUUUUCACAUUUGAAUUUUCCAUUUUCCUCAUCUCUCAGACAAUUCUGGUGAUUAAAUUGCACACUACAAUGAGUCCAAGUCUGCAGUGAACAUCCAAAGAGGAGCAUCCUAAGAAUCCUUGAGUGCCUGAGGAAGAUGGAGGUGUGCUGUUCUGAGGUGCUAAAUAAAUGUUGGA